GCCAACGGCCAUACCACGUUGAACACACCAGUUCUCGUCCGAUCCACUGAACGUCGGGCCCGGUUAGUACUUGGAUGGGUGACCGCCUGGGAACCCCCGGGUGCUGUUGGUA
RNAcentral lists this ribosomal RNA (112 nucleotides) under Orchesella cincta. The record is from RNAcentral. Lineage: Eukaryota; Metazoa; Arthropoda; Collembola; Entomobryomorpha; Orchesellidae.